CCUACGGGAGGCUGCAGUGGGGAAUAUUGGACAAUGGGGGGAACCCUGAUCCAGCGACGCCGCGUGAGUGAAGAAGUAUCUCGGUAUGUAAAGCUCUAUCAGCAGGGAAGAAAGAAAUGAAGGUACCUGACUAAGAAGCCCCGGCUACCUACGUGCCAGCAGCCGCGGUAAUACGUAGGGGGCAAGCGUUAUCCGGAUUUACUGGGUGUAAAGGGAGCGUAGACGGCAGCACAAGUCUGGAGUGAAAUCCCGGGGCUUAACCCCGGAACUGCAUUGGAAACUGUGCGGCUGGAGUGCAGGAGGGGUAAGCGGAAUUCGUGGUGUAGCGGUGAAAUGCGUAGAUAUUAGGAGGAACACCGGUGGCGAAGGCGGCUUACUGGACUGUAACUGACGUUGAGGCUCGAAAGCGUGGGGAGCAAACAGGAUUAGAUACCCGAGUAGUC
RNAcentral lists this ribosomal RNA (443 nucleotides) under uncultured bacterium. RNAcentral's name for it is "partial 16S ribosomal RNA". It matches the Rfam family "Bacterial small subunit ribosomal RNA", at positions 338 to 795 of the family's 1533-position model. The record is from RNAcentral.